RNAcentral lists this ribosomal RNA (700 nucleotides) under Pseudomonas sp. RNAcentral describes it as "bacterial SSU rRNA". It matches the Rfam family "Bacterial small subunit ribosomal RNA", at positions 66 to 761 of the family's 1533-position model. The record is from RNAcentral. Lineage: Bacteria; Pseudomonadati; Pseudomonadota; Gammaproteobacteria; Pseudomonadales; Pseudomonadaceae.
GCGGAUGAGGAGAGCUUGCUCUCUGAUUCAGCGGCGGACGGGUGAGUAAUGCCUAGGAAUCUGCCUGGUAGUGGGGGACAACGUUUCGAAAGGAACGCUAAUACCGCAUACGUCCUACGGGAGAAAGUGGGGGAUCUUCGGACCUCACGCUAUCAGAUGAGCCUAGGUCGGAUUAGCUAGUUGGUGGGGUAACGGCUCACCAAGGCGACGAUCCGUAACUGGUCUGAGAGGAUGAUCAGUCACACUGGAACUGAGACACGGUCCAGACUCCUACGGGAGGCAGCAGUGGGGAAUAUUGGACAAUGGGCGAAAGCCUGAUCCAGCCAUGCCGCGUGUGUGAAGAAGGCCCUCGGGUCGUAAAGCACUUUAAGCUGGGAGGAAGGGUUGUAACCUAAUACGUUGCAGCUUUGACGUUACCAGCAGAAUAAGCACCGGCUAACUCUGUGCCAGCAGCCGCGGUAAUACAGAGGGUGCAAGCGUUAAUCGGAAUUACUGGGCGUAAAGCGCGCGUAGGUGGCUUGGUAAGUUGAAUGUGAAAUCCCCGGGCUCAACCUGGGAACUGCAUCCAAAACUGCCUGGCUAGAGUACGGUAGAGGGUGGUGGAAUUUCCUGUGUAGCGGUGAAAUGCGUAGAUAUAGGAAGGAACACCAGUGGCGAAGGCGACCACCUGGACUGAUACUGACACUGAGGUGCGAAAGCG